RNAcentral lists this ribosomal RNA (628 nucleotides) under uncultured beta proteobacterium. RNAcentral describes it as "bacterial SSU rRNA". It matches the Rfam family "Bacterial small subunit ribosomal RNA", at positions 85 to 709 of the family's 1533-position model. The record is from RNAcentral. Lineage: Bacteria; Pseudomonadati; Pseudomonadota; Betaproteobacteria.
CUGGUGGCGAGUGGCGAACGGGUGAGUAAUACAUCGGAACAUGUCCUGUAGUGGGGGAUAGCCCGGCGAAAGCCGGAUUAAUACCGCAUACGAUCUACGGAUGAAAGCGGGGGACCUUCGGGCCUCGCGCUAUAGGGUUGGCCGAUGGCUGAUUAGCUAGUUGGUGGGGUAAAGGCCUACCAAGGCGACGAUCAGUAGCUGGUCUGAGAGGACGACCAGCCACACUGGGACUGAGACACGGCCCAGACUCCUACGGGAGGCAGCAGUGGGGAAUUUUGGACAAUGGGCGAAAGCCUGAUCCAGCAAUGCCGCGUGUGUGAAGAAGGCCUUCGGGUUGUAAAGCACUUUUGUCCGGAAAGAAAUCCUUGGUUCUAAUAUAGCCGGGGGAUGACGGUACCGGAAGAAUAAGCACCGGCUAACUACGUGCCAGCAGCCGCGGUAAUACGUAGGGUGCGAGCGUUAAUCGGAAUUACUGGGCGUAAAGCGUGCGCAGGCGGUUUGCUAAGACCGAUGUGAAAUCCCCGGGCUCAACCUGGGAACUGCAUUGGUGACUGGCAGGCUAGAGUAUGGCAGAGGGGGGUAGAAUUCCACGUGUAGCAGUGAAAUGCGUAGAGAUGUGGAGGAAUAC